GUGGGGAAUCUUGCGCAAUGGGCGAAAGCCUGACGCAGCCAUGCCGCGUGAAUGAUGAAGGUCUUAGGAUUGUAAAAUCCUUUCACCGGUGAAGAUAAUGACUGUAGCCGGAGAAGAAGCCCCGGCUAACUUCGUGCCAGCAGCCGCGGUAAUACGAAGGGGGCUAGCGUUGCUCGGAUUUACUGGGCGUAAAGGGCGCGUAGGCGGACAUUUAAGUCAGGGGUGAAAUCCCGGGGCUCAACCUCGGAACUGCCUUUGAUACUGGGUGUCUUGAGUAUGAGAGAGGUGUGUGGAACUCCGAGUGUAGAGGUGAAAUUCGUAGAUAUUCGGAAGAACACCAGUGGCGAAGGCGACACACUGGCUCAUUACUGACGCUGAGGCGCGAAAGCGUGGGGAGCAAACAGGAUUAGAUACCCCGGUAGUCC
Molecule: ribosomal RNA, 425 nt
Filed under: uncultured bacterium
Lineage: Bacteria
Description: partial 16S ribosomal RNA
Rfam family: Bacterial small subunit ribosomal RNA
Source: RNAcentral